Long non-coding RNA from Chenopodium quinoa (quinoa), 2457 nucleotides. RefSeq lists it as uncharacterized. Lineage: Eukaryota; Viridiplantae; Streptophyta; Magnoliopsida; Caryophyllales; Amaranthaceae. The record is from RefSeq and is a predicted model, not a curated record. The transcript is spliced from 10 exons.
UCCCUUAGCUCUCUUUCUUCUCAUCUCAGAAAAAAGCUCAGAGUUUUUAUGGAAACAAGGAGAGAGAAAGCUAGAGAGAGAAAAUAUGUCUUCCUUCAACAACAAUGGCGAUGAGCUCAAAACCACCAAUCAUCCCUUCGAUGAUGGUUAUGGGAGCUUGUGGAAGAUGAUUCUUGAUGUCGUUUGCUCCGAUCUUCAGGUUUCGCGGGGGAGGUGAUAUUUUGAAUCAAUUAUACUAUGAAUCAAUUUUUAUAUCAUUUUUUCCAACCUAGAUCCAAUAAGAUUAUUGAUUACAGACUUACGGUUGUGGAAGAUGAGUUUCCGAUCUUCAGGCAAAAGGAGAAGAUGGAACCAGGUUUGGUGGACUUGAGUUUGAGGUGAAUAUAUUGAGCUUGAGAGGUAAUUUGUUGAUUCUCCAAUGCUGUUAUCUCUGAUCUCCAGGUAUAAUUUUGUCUCCUUUCACUUUCGUGUUCUAAUUGGUUUAAUAUUUAGCUCUUUGAUUAGAUUUUUCCUUUUGUUUGAAUGUUGACUGAUUUAAUUUUUGUUAAUUUCUGAUUUUUUUCCACAAAUGGAUUUUCUGGUUCUUUUUCUAUUUCUUUUUUCUAAAAAAAAAAAAAAAAAAAAAAUUGCUUCUGAGUUUCAUUCAGUUUUUUGCUGAGUGUCAAUUUCCUCCUCCAUAGAAGCAGCUUCUUGAUAUAAGAUCUGUAUCCUUCUUAUAAUCAUCUAAUAUGAAUUUGACAAUAUAGGGUAUAGCUUUUGUAUCGAAUUGUCUAUCUAUGCCCAUAUUACUUUACUUCCAUAAAAAGAGGAAAGACUGUUUGAUUACUAAUAAUUUAAGUAUUUGUGUAGUGAGUAUUGAAGGGUUUAUUUUUUGAUGAUGUUUAUACAGAUUUGUGGAUUAUGGGUUGUUUGUAUUUGUAUCGUUCAUUAUUGAUUUUGUUGUGAUUAUGACUAAUUUUAUAGUUGUAAUAAGAUUGAGUUAGUGAUGCUUGUGUUAUUUUAGAAUUUCUGAAUUACAUUCAUUAGUAUUGAUAAUUAGUGACCUGUUUUAAAUUUGGUUGAAAAUUUGCUAUUUAAUUUAUUACCUUUUGUUCUGCUAAGAUAAUUGGGGUACUGUUCUAGAAAAUAGGAAUACAUAUGUCAAUGAAUAAGUGAAAUGUUAAAGUUUGAAUAUAUUUGAUUGUUCUAUUUGUAGGAUUUUGUGUAGGUUGUAUGCAAAUGGCUUUUAAAUCCUUUAUGCAGAGUUGCUCAAAUCUGUCAGCUAGCCCUGAUACAACUAAGUUGUAGUUCUCGCUUGCUCGCCCUGCUUUGUUGAGUUACAGGGGAAAAGAGGAGGAGAUCGAGGAGAUCGAGAAGAUCGAAGAUAAUCUCAGAGAAGUUCUCAAGCAUUCCGCUCAAAUGCUUUCUGAACUCUGAACUUCAUAAGUAUCUUGAACUCUCUUAACGUUGAUAAGAGCCCUUUUCAAUGAACAAUUGUGAAUCAGAUUUCGAGCUACUGCUAUAGGUGAAGUGAUGUGCAGAGAUGUCAAGAAAUUAGAGGUUUUUCAAAGAUCAAAUCAGCAAAGCUGGCUUGUUAGUUUCUGGUCAUCCUGGGAUGCAAUCUGAUGGUCUUGAUCUUGAGUUAGAGGAAUAGGAAGCUGAAUGCAAGUAAAGGUUGGUCAUGAAAAAAGUUGUGAGUCUAUUUUACGAAGACUUAGGGGAAAGAAAUUUGAUAUAGCUCAUGAAGCAGCUCAAAUCAAAGUAAUACACAUCAUUCAAUAGAGUAUUAGAGAACUUAAACUACUUGAAUUUGUCUUAUUAUUCAACCUACAAACUAAACUUAAUCAUUUAGAAAUUACAUGACCUGAUGUUAACAUAUACGGAGUAUUAUAACUUCAAAAUUGAUCUAACCCAAAUAAAAAAUCAUUGUGACAUAUACUCGGUUUCAUGAUUACUACAGAUCUACCCAGGAGGAAUGGGAGGGAUACCAUUUGUUAUAAUGUCAGAGGUAAGCCAUGGUAAUGCAUAAUAAUGUUGUGUGUGCCUAAUGCCCGUUUCUAGAAGAACUAACAAAAGACUAACAAAACUAUGUCAAGACUUGGUUCAAUCAGCCUGCUCGUAAAACUAGAAGAGUGCGUAAGUUUACUUGCAUCUCAUUAGAAGAAGGUCGAGGUCUGGGGUAUCUGCUUAUGGAAACAAUUGAUUGGUUUUGUUGGGUUUUAAUAAUAAAUUAUGGGUACCGGAUAAUUUUUGCCAGACUGUUAAUUUUUUUUUUCUUUUUUUGGUGAAGAUAAGUAGGUAAUCCAUUUCAGUGUUUUAGUUUAAGAUAGCUUUAAAAUGUCCUUGAAUAGUUUCUUACAUUUGAUGUUACUCAGAUGGAUAUUUUGAGAAUUUAAGAUUAAUCAUAAUUAGUGGCUUUGUUCUUCCAUUUGUAUGAAUGUUACAUAUCACGUUAUGUAUACAAUUUCAAUUUUAUUA